This is a long non-coding RNA of Cyprinus carpio carpio, 2550 nucleotides long. Lineage: Eukaryota; Metazoa; Chordata; Actinopteri; Cypriniformes; Cyprinidae. The record is from Ensembl.
CGAAAUUCUGAUUAACGUUACCAGUAUGCGAGAAAUUGGUUUGGAAGAAAUAUAUCUGAAAGCUGUUUUUGAAGUAGGGGUAAGUGAGAAAGGAAAACUCUGUCUUUUUAAAUUUUUAAGAGACACUGGACUGUAUAAAAGAAUGUAGGGCAAUUGUGUAAUAGAUCCAUAGAUGGCAGCAAUGCCAACUUAUUGGAUGCCGGUUACCGUAAAAUCCCAUAGAAGAAGAAGAAGACCUUUACCAGUAAAGAAGGAUGAACUUUUGGGUGCACACUCUAGAAAUAUACUCUUAAAAGGUUUCUCCCUAUCUCUUAGCUCCUGGCUGCUAAAAGUCACAAGCUCUUACGGUGUUUUUUUGAAGAUUAAACCCUUUGUAAACAUCAGUUCCUGAGAGUAAAGAGCAUCUGUUCAGCUGGAAAGCGCUUUACCUAGAAAAAACAACAGCCUCACUUCAUCAGUCCUACCACACAUCUGAAAGCUAUUUAAUGACAACCAAAGGACUUGGUGGGAUGAUCUAAGUCGGUGGCACUUCUUUAAAGAAAAUGGAUGCUUCUGAAAAUAAAGAACCAGACCAGCAUGUGGAGGCCCCUUAUAAUGGAACGGAAGAGGAGGAGCUUCAUCGAUCUGGACAACAACGGAAAAGAUGUGUGUAUUUAAAGAAGGUGAGGCCCUGAAAAAGGAGAAAAGAUUGAUUCAGCUGUACGAACAAUGGAAGGACCUGGCUCGCAACACAAGGGAAGGGCUAAAAACAGACGUUAGUGAGAGCCAACUGGCGCUUAUUAAUACACUUGAAAAGGGCAGGGAUGAUGUCAUGCACGUCUACCUGGAAAUUAGAGAUUACAUCGCUCCAUCCAGCUGAAUUAGCAGCCAAAGAAGCGGAAUACUCGAUACAAGAGAUCGAAGCUCAGAAGUUUGAACUGGAAAAACUUAAGGCAGAGAAGGAUCUAAAAGCAGCUAGAGCCAGACUGCAGGCCUAUGAUCAAGAAAUGGCACAAGAAGACAGCAUUCAUUCUUCAGAUUCAAAUUUAGGGGAACAGCAGGAUGAAUGAUAAUGAGGCGUAUAAUGAUGUGUGGAACAAGCUGAACCAACAGUAUGGACAGCCAUUUGUUAUACAGAAGGCAUUCAGGGAAAAACAAGCCAAAUGGCCUAAGAUUCAGCCUAGGGAUGCUGAAGGAAAUAUUAAAUGACUGUGAUGAAAAUCAGAAACUUGUACACAAAUUACCAGAUUGGGCAGCAGCAUGUUGGAACCAUCAGGUCAUGCAGCCACUGAUUGAGACUGAUUGACUUUCCAAAGUUUAUAGAUUUUGUGACCUUCAUGUCGAUGGAAGCAGAGAUUACUUGUAAUCCUGUAACCUCCUUCAGUGCUCUUCGUGCCUCUGACCCCACUUCAGAAAAUCGGAAUCUUACGGACAGUAAAAGGAACAGGGUUAACGUCUUUCACAUUCAAACAGCCACAGAAAAUAAAGAAAAUUAUAAAAAUUAACAAAAACCCAGUAAAGGGAAUUUCAAAAUGUGUUUCUUCUGCAAGGACAGCAAGCAUAAGAUUCACAACUGUCCUAAAUUUGUGGCAAAAUCCUUAGAAGAGACACGGAAAUAUGUGAAGGAUAACAAGCUCUGCUAUGGUUGCAUGAAACCAGGCCACAGCGCAAAAGACUGCCGUCACCGUCUGUCCUGUGACACAUGUAGAGGUAGAUGAAAACAUGAUGAAAACUAUACAAAGAAAGUCAACUCUGCACCAGUUUCAAACUAAGGUGACACAGAGAUAACUACUUCUACAUCUCACAAAGUAGAGAAUAAUGAGCCAUCUACCAAUACUUCAAUGAUCGUGCCAGUAUGGGUGUCAACCAAAAGGAAUCCGGGCUCUGAAAAACUUGUUUAUGCUCUGCUUGACACCCAGAGUGAUACUGUGUUUGUCGACAGAGAGCUGAGCAUCAGGUUACAAGCUGACUCCUGUCCUGUGAGACUGAAGUUGACAACCAUGACUGCAAAGGAUGUUGUCAUGUCGAGUGAAAGGGUGUCAGGUCUUAAAGUAAGAGGGUACAGCUCCUCCGUUGUCCUCAACCUGCCCCCUGCCUACACUAAGGACUCUAUUCCAGUGAAACGUACUCAUAUCCCUACUUGUGUCACAGCACGACAUUGGAAGCAUCUCUCUACAAUAGUGGAUAAAAUUCCAGCUCUGCAGGUUUGUGAGGAUGGUCUCCUGAUAGGCUACAACUGUCCAAAGGCUUUGGCACCAAAACAGGUGAUUUUAGGAGGAGACGAUGAACCUUAUGCAGUCCAUACAGACCUAGGAUGGAGCAUUGUUGGCCGCCUGUCUUCACACAAUGAAUCACAAAGCUUCAACACCAUCUGACAUAGAGUCAGCAUAAAAGAGCUCCCUCCAGUGACCCCAGCAGAUGUUAUUAAAUUAUUGCAGUCUGACUUCAAAGACGCUGGUGAAGAUCAUAAAACUGUGUCACAGGAUGACAUCCUCUUUUUGACCAAACUGCAGCAAGGCAUAAGGAAGAAUGACCACGGGCAUUAUGAGGUGCCUCUUCCCUUCAAAAGAA